RNAcentral lists this ribosomal RNA (492 nucleotides) under uncultured bacterium. RNAcentral describes it as "partial 16S ribosomal RNA". It matches the Rfam family "Bacterial small subunit ribosomal RNA", at positions 29 to 507 of the family's 1533-position model. The record is from RNAcentral.
AGUGAACGCUGGCGGUAGGCCUAACACAUGCAAGUCGAACGGCAGCACAGUAAGAGCUUGCUCUUACGGGUGGCGAGUGGCGGACGGGUGAGGAAUACAUCGGAAUCUACUUUUUCGUGGGGGAUAACGUAGGGAAACUUACGCUAAUACCGCAUACGACCUACGGGUGAAAGCAGGGGAUCUUCGGACCUUGCGCGAGUGAAUGAGCCGAUGUCGGAUUAGCUAGUUGGCGGGGUAAAGGCCCACCAAGGCGACGAUCCGUAGCUGGUCUGAGAGGAUGAUCAGCCACACUGGAACUGAGACACGGUCCAGACUCCUACGGGAGGCCGCAGUGGGGAAUCUUGGACAAUGGGCGCAAGCCUGAUCCAGCCAUACCGCGUGGGUGAAGAAGGCCUUCGGGUUGUAAAGCCCUUUUGUUGGGAAAGAAAAGCGGCAGGUUAAUACCCCGCUGUUCUGACGGUACCCAAAGAAUAAGCACCGGCUAACUUCGUG